This 253-nucleotide ribosomal RNA is filed under the name uncultured bacterium. RNAcentral describes it as "partial 16S ribosomal RNA". It matches the Rfam family "Bacterial small subunit ribosomal RNA", at positions 524 to 776 of the family's 1533-position model. The record is from RNAcentral.
UACGGAGGGUGCAAGCGUUAUCCGGAAUCACUGGGUGUAAAGGGUGCGUAGGCGGCUUAGUAAGUCAGGAGUGAAAGCCUGCGGCUUAACCGUAGAAAUGCUUUUGAUACUGCUGAGCUUGAAUUAGGUUGAGGUUGGCGGAAUGUGACAUGUAGCGGUGAAAUGCAUAGAUAUGUCAUAGAACACCAAUUGCGAAGGCAGCUGACUAGACCUGAAUUGACGCUGAGGCACGAAAGCGUGGGGAGCGAACAGG